AUGAUGCAGUUCCACAACACACAGCCACAUUCACCCACAGACCGAGGUACAGAACGAGAGACAACCUCUGCCCCCCCAGCAGCUGGCCAGCUUUGCAGCCCCAGUCUUGAGCCCCCAACUACCCUCCCCCCACCCACCCCCAUCCCCUUCCCAAUUGAAGGAGCGGAAAGAGAAGAGAGAAGAGUGAGCAGAGAGAUUGAGAGAUUGAGAGAGAGAGAGAGAGAUAGACGGAGAUCUCUGGAGCAGACCUCAAGCCAACCUGCUCCGCUGCUUCACCUGCGACCGUCUCUGCGGGGGCUGCACGGCGCCAGCCCCUCCAGCCCGCCAGGGCAUUGUCCUCCAGCCCGUCAUGCCCAGCUGUGACCCCGGUCCGGGCCCUGCCUGCCUCCCCACCAAGACUUUCCGCAGCUAUCUGCCCCGCUGUCACCGCACUUACAGCUGUGUCCACUGCCGUGCACACCUGGCCAAACACGAUGAGCUUAUUUCCAAGUCCUUCCAAGGGAGCCAUGGCCGAGCCUACCUGUUUAACUCCGUGUGAGUCUACCUCUUUCCUUGUGCGUGUG
This 563-nucleotide small RNA is filed under the name Pan troglodytes (chimpanzee). RNAcentral describes it as "processed transcript". Lineage: Eukaryota; Metazoa; Chordata; Mammalia; Primates; Hominidae. The record is from RNAcentral.